UGGUGGGUAGUUUGACUGGGGCGGUCUCCUCCUAAAGAGUAACGGAGGAGCACGAAGGUUGGCUAAUCCUGGUCGGACAUCAGGAGGUUAGUGCAAUGGCAUAAGCCAGCUUGACUGCGAGCGUGACGGCGCGAGCAGGUGCGAAAGCAGGUCAUAGUGAUCCGGUGGUUCUGAAUGGAAGGGCCAUCGCUCAACGGAUAAAAGGUACUCCGGGGAUAACAGGCUGAUACCGCCCAAGAGUUCAUAUCGACGGCGGUGUUUGGCACCUCGAUGUCGGCUCAUCACAUCCUGGGGCUGAAGUAGGUCCCAAGGGUAUGGCUGUUCGCCAUUUAAAGUGGUACGCGAGCUGGGUUUAGAACGUCGUG
This 365-nucleotide ribosomal RNA is filed under the name Escherichia coli. Its description in RNAcentral is "partial 23S ribosomal RNA". It matches the Rfam family "Bacterial large subunit ribosomal RNA", at positions 2259 to 2623 of the family's 2925-position model. Lineage: Bacteria; Pseudomonadati; Pseudomonadota; Gammaproteobacteria; Enterobacterales; Enterobacteriaceae. The record is from RNAcentral. RNAcentral also lists the same sequence under 3 other names.